UGAACGCUGGCGGCGUGCCUAAUACAUGCAAGUCGAGCGAACAGACGAGGAGCUUGCUCCUCUGACGUUAGCGGCGGACGGGUGAGUAACACGUGGAUAACCUACCUAUAAGACUGGGAUAACUUCGGGAAACCGGAGCUAAUACCGGAUAAUAUAUUGAACCGCAUGGUUCAAUAGUGAAAGACGGUUUUGCUGUCACUUAUAGAUGGAUCCGCGCCGCAUUAGCUAGUUGGUAAGGUAACGGCUUACCAAGGCAACGAUGCGUAGCCGACCUGAGAGGGUGAUCGGCCACACUGGAACUGAGACACGGUCCAGACUCCUACGGGAGGCAGCAGUAGGGAAUCUUCCGCAAAGGGCGAAAGCCUGACGGAGCAACGUCGCGUGAGUGAUGAAGGUCUUCGGAUCGUAAAACUCUGUUAUUAGGGAAGAACAAAUGUGUAAGUAACUAUGCACGUCUUGACGGUACCUAAUCAGAAAGCCACGGCUAACUACGUG
Molecule: ribosomal RNA, 495 nt
Filed under: uncultured bacterium
Lineage: Bacteria
Description: partial 16S ribosomal RNA
Rfam family: Bacterial small subunit ribosomal RNA
Source: RNAcentral